UGCUAAUACCGUAUAAUAAUUAAAACGCAUGGUUUAGUUUAAAGAUGGUCUUGCUAUCACUAAGAGAUGGUCCCGCGGUGUAUUAGUUAGUUGGUGAGGUAAUGGCUCACCAAGACAAUGAUACAUAGCCGAGUUGAGAGACUGACCGGCCACAAUGGGACUGAGACACGGCCCAUACUCCUACGGGAGGCAGCAGUAGGGAAUCUUCCACAAUGGACGAAAGUCUGAUGGAGCAACGCCGCGUGUGUGAUGAAGGGUUUCGGCUCGUAAAACACUGUUGUAAGAGAAGAAUGACAUUGAGAGUAACUGUUCAAUGUGUGACGGUAUCUUACCAGAAAGGAACGGCUAAAUACGUG
Molecule: ribosomal RNA, 356 nt
Filed under: uncultured bacterium
Lineage: Bacteria
Description: bacterial SSU rRNA
Rfam family: Bacterial small subunit ribosomal RNA
Source: RNAcentral